GGAGUGGUCCGGGUGGUCGCGUCAGGUGUGUGCUUGCACAUUCCUGCCGAGGAAAGUCCGGGCUACACAGGGCAGAAUGCCGGAUAACGUCCGGUGGGGGUGACCCCGGGAAAGUGCUACAGAGAAUAGACUGCCGGUUGCAAAACCGGUGAGGGUGAAAGGGUGCGGUAAGAGCGCACCGUCCCGUGCGGUAACGGACGGGAGCUGAGGUAAACCCCAUUCGUAGCAAGGCCAAAUAGGGAAGCAACAGGCGUGGCCCACGCUGCUUCCGGGUAGGCUGCUUGAGCCUGCAGGCAACUGCAGGCCUAGAUGAAUGGCUACCGCUUCUGCCCACCGGGCAGAGGUACAGAACCCGGCUUACAGGGCCACUCCGCUU
RNAcentral lists this RNase P RNA (376 nucleotides) under Mariprofundaceae bacterium. RNAcentral describes it as "RNase P RNA component class A". It matches the Rfam family "Bacterial RNase P class A". Rfam says of the family: Ribonuclease P (RNase P) is a ubiquitous endoribonuclease, found in archaea, bacteria and eukarya as well as chloroplasts and mitochondria. The record is from RNAcentral. Lineage: Bacteria; Pseudomonadati; Pseudomonadota; Candidatius Mariprofundia; Mariprofundales; Mariprofundaceae.